GCCCAGGUGGCGAAAUGGCAGACGCACUACCUUGAGGUGGUAGCGGGAGAAAUCCCGUGGAGGUUCGAGUCCUCUCCUGGGCACCA
RNAcentral lists this transfer RNA (86 nucleotides) under Candidatus Peribacteria bacterium. Its description in RNAcentral is "tRNA-Leu". It matches the Rfam family "tRNA". From Rfam's summary of the family: Transfer RNA (tRNA) molecules are approximately 80 nucleotides in length. Their secondary structure includes four short double-helical elements and three loops (D, anti-codon, and T loops). The record is from RNAcentral. Lineage: Bacteria; Candidatus Peregrinibacteriota; Candidatus Peribacteria.